Long non-coding RNA from Apus apus (common swift), 2647 nucleotides. RefSeq lists it as uncharacterized. The record is from RefSeq and is a predicted model, not a curated record. The transcript is spliced from 5 exons. Lineage: Eukaryota; Metazoa; Chordata; Aves; Apodiformes; Apodidae.
GCGGCGGGAGAGGCCGCUGGAGCUGGGGAAGGAGGGCCUGGCGGCGGGAGAGGCCGCUGGAGCUGGGGAAGGAGGGCCUGGCGGCGGGAGAGGCCGCUGGAGCUGGGGAAGGAGGGCCUGGCGGCGGGAGAGGCCGGGGCAACCCCGGGAGGGGCUGGCGGGCGUGAGCUUUCCGGAGGGAGCUGCUGUGUGUUGCCAGGCGCUGCUCGCCUGCUGCGGCGCUCCCGGGUGUUGCGCGGGUCUGUGCGGAGCGGCGCGGCUGCGGCCUGGAAGCCUGUUGGUGUUAGCCCGGCAGCUUUCUCGCCAGCCUGUUUUGCUCUGGGGUUAAUGCCGCCCGUCACGUAGCGGGAGCUGUUGCAGCCUUCGCGCAAAGAAAGUGAUGUCACGUUGUUAACCUGUAGCUCGUUCUUCAUUUCCGCAAGAAGCCUGAAUACUCACUUGCGGCGUCCUUUCUCUCCUGGCAAAACCCUCGCACCUUUCGCGUCGUCCUAAGGUCUGCAGACACCCCUGUGACUAGAGUGUGAACGUGUGCAGCUUGCGGUUUUGACAAAAGACGUUUGAAAUCAGAAAGUGCACCUUAGCUAGUUUGUUUAUUGUUUCUUGUAGAUUUACCUGCCAGCAACUGCAGAAGAUUAUUUAAUUUAAGAAGGAACGUCGACGUGUUGCAUCAAUGAACCUGCAUCUCCCUGAGGAAAUCACAACGUUGUAUGCUGCUCUGCCUGGAGGUUUUGAAGCCCAGAUUGCUGGCCCGGUGGGUGUGUUUCUGGCAGAGGUAUACAGGCCCCGGCUCUGCCCAGCAGCUGCAUCAGAAGUAAGUUAGAUCAGAAUAUAACUGGCACACAUGCCUAAAACAGACACAGCCUGUCAAACUUCAGGCUGUCCUAAAAGGGACCAAAGUGGAAAUGAGUCCUAUAGCCUGGGAAUUGAAGCUAACCAAGAAAAUGAAAAAAAAAAAACAACCUGAAGAAAAUGCUGCAAAGAUUGGCUGUCUUAUUGAUGGUGUAUCUCGUGCUUCAGAAUAUGAGUGGUUACGGUUGGUAACGUGAGCACAGUCAGAGCAAUAGUCCUCAUGCCUCACUCCUCUGAAGUGUCCACCAUGUUUGGAGAAGCAGCAGCUCAUUUGCAGCUUGAGGAGCCUUGUUCUGUGGGUCUUGGCUUUAAAUGCAUUUAUUGGUUCAUGACUCAGUGGGACUUAAUGGAAAAUCAUUUUAAGUCACAUAAGUGGAUGAAAGAAACUUACAAGCACCUUAUCUGUACAAGUGUGUUUAUGGAAACAGCCAUCAGAGGAGACCAUUUCAGUGCACAACGUAUUCACCGUAUUGUGAAACUGAGCGGAUAAGAAAUCUUCACAUAGCUUGCCAUUAUCAGGAUGUGUUUAAAUGUCUGCACAGAUUUUACCAGUCCUGUGACAUCUAGACCCUUUAGGGUGACUGGCUUCAGCUCCAUCAUGACAUCCUAACAUAUACUGUGUUGGUGGCGAUGUACUAAUCACCAAACCAUGCUGAAGCAUGGAGCUGGUGUACACGGGUCAGUCUAGAGAAGAGUUGAAAGAGCACACAUGGAAAAUCACAGAACUUCUACAUCCCCCCAUAUUCAUUUUGGGAUCGAGUACUCUAGACAUCAGUUGAAUGGACAUCACAGACAGAUCCAUCAGAAAAAAACCGAGAAAUUAGAACCAAAUGGAAGAGAAAACAAGUUUUAAUAUAAUCCUGUGUGCUCCAACACAAAAGCAACGAGAAACGAAGAUUCAAGUUAAUUUGCACGUAGUUCCUAUGGUGAGAAGCCUUUCAAAUGUGAGAUCGGGUCUUACGCCUCCACAGAUGGAAGCUCCCUGCAGCAGCUCAUCUGUACAUGUGCUACUGAGAGGCCCUACAAGUGUUGACUGUUCAUGUAGCUGCAUUCACUAGAAGAGCUUGGACUUCACAUAUGCUGACAUCACACUGUUCUUCUGUUGGCAAACAACUUCUCUGAAUACACUAAGAAAUACCAUCUGGGUUCAGGAACCUCAUUAACCAGUUCCAGGCCCACCUUUACUCUCAAAUAAUUUCCUGUGGAACAUUAGGUUCUUCAUGCUUAAAACUUCUACCAGAGCAUCCCAGCAAAUACAGAAGCUGUUGGCAUUGUCAGACUUUUGUGCUGAAAGCCAGGGGUUAUCUGGAAGAAGAGAAGGAAUGGUCCCUAUGUGGCAAUUAAAGCAGUUAGAGUGGUCUUCCCAAAAAGCUUGGUGUGUGUUAUGGUACAGGUGGUAACUCCAAUGUACAGAGAGGAAUGUGGAGAUUUGUGUUGCACAAAGGGUGGACAUUUUGAUUUUUGUUCCGAUUACCUUUUGCUGAUAUAUUCCGCUUACUUACUAAUGAAGAGUUAGAAAUUUCAAGGCUGAAUCUAUUGAAAUGUACCAGAGCUGACAGUAAGUUCUACAGGUGGUUUCUGUUCUACAUCUCACUUUUAAUACAGGUCUCUAUAUAAAACAGUAAAUUACUCAAGGAUAUCUACCAGUGCUGUAGCACUCAUAGUGUGGUUAAAGAACUCAUUACAUUUCUUCAUGGUUAUUUUUUAUAACAAAAUGUGUCUAUUAUCAUAAGCUAAUCCAAUGUUGAAAUAAAAAGUAUUGAAAUAUGACAUUAAAUAAACUUGUCUUUGAAAUUCA